This 253-nucleotide ribosomal RNA is filed under the name uncultured bacterium. RNAcentral's name for it is "partial 16S ribosomal RNA". It matches the Rfam family "Bacterial small subunit ribosomal RNA", at positions 524 to 776 of the family's 1533-position model. The record is from RNAcentral.
UACGAAGGGGGCUAGCGUUGCUCGGAAUUACUGGGCGUAAAGGGCGCGUAGGCGGAUAUUUAAGUUGGGGGUGAAAUCCCGGGGCUCAACCUCGGAAUUGCCUUCAAAACUGGAUAUCUUGAGUUCGGGAGAGGUGAGUGGAACUCCGAGUGUAGAGGUGAAAUUCGUAGAGAUGUGGAGGAACACCAGUGGCGAAGGCGACUCUUUGGCCUGUAACUGACGCUGAGGCGCGAAAGCGUGGGGAGCAAACAGG